AGCAGUCGCCACGGUAAUACAGAGGGUGCGAGCGUUAAUCGGAUUUACUGGGCGUAAAGCGUGCGUAGGCGGCUUCUUAAGUCGGAUGUGAAAUCCCUGAGCUUAACUUAGGAAUUGCAUUCGAUACUGGGAAGCUAGAGUAUGGGAGAGGAUGGUAGAAUUCCAGGUGUAGCAGUGAAAUGCGUAGAGAUCGGAAGGAACAUCUGUGGCGAAGGCGACUAUCUGGGCCAUUACUGACACUGAGGCACGAAAGCGUGGGGAGCAAACAGGAUUAGAUACCCCUGUAGUCCCUGUCUCUUAUAA
RNAcentral lists this ribosomal RNA (303 nucleotides) under uncultured bacterium. RNAcentral describes it as "partial 16S ribosomal RNA". It matches the Rfam family "Bacterial small subunit ribosomal RNA", at positions 507 to 809 of the family's 1533-position model. The record is from RNAcentral.